UGGUAAUGUUAUUGGAGGGGAUAUAGGGGAGGCUCAGCAGCACUGGGACUUCAGUCUUGCUCAGUCAUUCAUCAGCAGCAGCAGAAGAAGAACCAUGAAGUGUCAACAGCAGUCACAAUCCAACACGGCCCUGCAGAACAGGAGGAAAUGGAAAAUAGUCCUCAACGCGUUCAGGCCAGCAGUGUCGAGCGCCAACAUGCCAAUCUCUGCCACGUCCGGACCUGCAGCAACCUAAGCUGCCAUCUUGUCGAGACCUGCAGCUGCCUCUAGAUCUGUGGCGGCAACAACCUCCAGCACGUCUGAACCAGUAGCGGCCACGUGGGAUCUCGUAGCGCGCAUAGCCCACUUGCUGGAGCAGAACAAGGAGCCGCUGUUGUCCAUCACAUUCAUCGAUUUGUGUGAUGAGGAAACGCGAUCUGCCCCCGGCACAUCGAACGCUGCUGGUGGUCCUAAACAACAUCAAGAUGGAGGACAGUACUGGCCACCAACAUAUGACCCAUCCCAGCUGAACAUUCCUGUGAUAGUGCAGCCACAGAGUGCAGAUGCUGUGGAUAAGAAGGCAUCGGGUUUACCUAUUCUUUUCACCUCCACAUACAAUUUAACUCCCAGUGGAACGAAACGUGUAAAUGUUGAUAUAGAAGCACAUCAUGUCUGGGGCUUGCAUGCGAGAAUGGAAAUUGAAAACGCAUCGAGUGUGUUAAAGUGCCAGUUUCCGAGUUCGACUGGGACGAAAAAUGUCGUGCAGAGCGCUACAUCAAUCAACGGAUGACUACAGAGUAUUAUCCAACUCGUUCUCGCCCAGACGUCUGCCUUACUGGUGUGAGACUUUCUAUUACAACAGUGUACGAUGACUGUACAUUAUGUAUGAAAUCGGGUGACAGCACUGUUUAUCUAAGGCAUGCCUCAGUUAUGAAGUUAUACAAUCUGGAUACUGCGCUACGUCUUGCAUUGGAGGGACUGGACCGUUAAUUGCGGAGCACAGACUCUGCAUACAAUGAUGUUGUAAACUCCCUACGUGUGCAUAGUGUACAUGUUGAUGAUUUGAAGCAGCACCUUUGUUUGCACAUGAACGCUGAACCUAAGGACAAACAGAUUAAAUGUGCGUGUGAAAAACCUGAGUACUGUGAGGCAUCCAUUGGCCUGAGUGAGAUACGCGCGGAAUUUAUUGCAUGUCAAAAAGCUUUCUUUGGGAAAUACUGUACAGCUGCGAAGAAGAAGAUACAUAAUGAGUGUAAUGAUUUUCCUGAAGUACUACAUCCUAUCUAUGACAUUUAAAUAAAUAAAUAAUUAUGUAUAUAUAAUCUCAAA
Schistocerca serialis cubense is the source of this 1308-nucleotide long non-coding RNA. RefSeq lists it as uncharacterized. The transcript is spliced from 2 exons. The record is from RefSeq and is a predicted model, not a curated record. Lineage: Eukaryota; Metazoa; Arthropoda; Insecta; Orthoptera; Acrididae.